GAAACGCGAUAUGUAAUGUGAAUUGCAGAAUUCAGUGAAUCAUCGAAUCUUUGAACGCACAUGGCGCCUUCCAGUAUCCUGGGAGGCAUGCCUGUCCGAGCGUCGUUUCAACCCUCGAGCCCCUGUGGCCCGGCGUUGGGGAUCUGCCACGGCAGGCCCCUAAAACCAGUGGCGGACCCGAAGGCCCUCUCCUUUGCGCAGUAGCAUCAGCCUCGCAUUGGGAUCCCUCGGCGUCCUGCCUCUAAACCCCCCACAAGUCCGCUCCGGCGGCACCAAGGUUGACCUCGGAUCAGGUAGGAAUACCCGCUGAACUUAA
RNAcentral lists this unclassified non-coding RNA (316 nucleotides) under uncultured Plectosphaerella. RNAcentral describes it as "sequence contains ITS1". The stretch from base 1 to 105 matches the Rfam family "5.8S ribosomal RNA", at positions 50 to 154 of the family's 154-position model. Lineage: Eukaryota; Fungi; Ascomycota; Sordariomycetes; Glomerellales; Plectosphaerellaceae. The record is from RNAcentral. RNAcentral also lists the same sequence under 1 other name.